ACGAGCGCUGGCGGCGUGCUUAAUACAUGCAAGUCGAACGCGAAAGCACUCUUCGGAGUGCGAGUAGAGUGGCGAAUGGGUGAGUAACGCGUAGGUAAUGUACCCUCGAGAUUGAGAUACCCCGGGAAACCGGGGCUAAUACCGAAUGAAGCAUGACCUGUGGGAUGGUGAUGUGAAAGUGGCGCAAGUCACGUUUGGGGAGCAGCCUGCGUCCUAUCAGCUUGUUGGCGGGGUAACGGCCCACCAAGGCGAAGACGGGUAGCUGAUCUGAGAGGAUGAUCAGCCACACUGGGACUGAGACACGGCCCAGACUCCUACGGGAGGCAGCAGUAGGGAAUAUUGCGCAAUGGGGGAAACCCUGACGCAGCGACGCCGCGUGAGCGAAGAAGGCUUUAUUAGUCGUAAAGCUCUGUAGGGAGGGAAGAACCGCAGGUGGUAACGCAUCUGUCUGACGGUACCUCCAAAGUAAGGACCGGCUAAAUACGUGCCAGCAGCCGCGGUAAUACGUAUGGUCCGAGCGUUGUCCGGAAUUACUGGGCAUAAAGGGUGCGUAGGCGGAUGUGUAAGUCAGGUGUGAAAGCCCUCGGCUCAACCGGGGAAUUGCGCUUGAAACUGCACGUCUAGAGCAUGUCAGAGGCAGGCGGAAUUCCCGGAGUAGCAGUGAAAUGCGUAGAUAUCGGGAAGAACACCGGUGGCGAAGGCGGCCUGCUGGGACAGUGCUGACGCUGAGGCACGAAAGCGUGGGGAGCGAACGGGAUUAGAUACCCCGGUAGUCCACGCCGUAAACGAUGGGUACUAGAUGUUGGACACGCUGAAGUGUUCAGUGUCGAAACAAAUGCGAUAAGUAUCCCGCCUGGGGAGUACGACCGCAAGGUUUAAACUCAAAGGAAUUGACGGGGGCCCGCACAAGCGGUGGAGCAUGUGGUUUAAUUCGAUGCAACGCGAAGAACCUUACCCGGAUUUGACAUCCUUCGGACCGUCUCUGGAGACAGAGACUUUCUCUUCGGAGACCGAAGUGACAGGUGCUGCAUGGCUGUCGUCAGCUCGUGUUGUGAAAUGUUGGGUUAAGUCCCGCAACGAGCGCAACCCUUGUUCUUAGUUGCCAGCAUUAAGAUGGGCACUCUAAGAAGACUGCCGAGGUUAACUCGGAGGAAGGUGGGGAUGACGUCAAGUCCUCAUGGCCCUUAUGUCCGGGGCUACACACGUGCUACAAUGGUAUAGACAGAGGGAAGCUACGCCGCAAGGCCACGCGGAUCCUCAAACUGUAUCACAGUUCGGAUCGGGGUCUGCAACUCGACCUCGUGAAGGUGGAAUCGCUAGUAAUCGCGGAUCAGCAUGCCGCGGUGAUAAGUUCCCGGGCCUUGUACACACCGCCCGUCACACCAUGGAAGUUGUCUUCACUGGAAGAUGCUGAGCCAGCCAGGCAGGCAUCGAUGGUGGGGAUAAUAACUAGGGUGAAGUC
RNAcentral lists this ribosomal RNA (1462 nucleotides) under uncultured organism. RNAcentral describes it as "bacterial SSU rRNA". It matches the Rfam family "Bacterial small subunit ribosomal RNA". The record is from RNAcentral.